This 325-nucleotide ribosomal RNA is filed under the name uncultured bacterium. Its description in RNAcentral is "bacterial SSU rRNA". It matches the Rfam family "Bacterial small subunit ribosomal RNA", at positions 335 to 650 of the family's 1533-position model. The record is from RNAcentral.
ACUCCUACGGGAGGCAGCAGUGGGGAAUAUUGCACAAUGGGUGGCAAACCUGAUGCAGCCAUGCCGCGUGUGUGAAGAAGGCCUUCGGGUUGUAAAGCACUUUCAGUAGGGAGGAAGGUAGUGUAGUUAACACCUGNACUAUUUGACGUUACCUACAGAAGAAGCACCGGCUAACUCCGGUGCCAGCAGCCGCGGUAAUACGGAGGGUGCGAGCGUUAAUCGGAAUUACUGGGCGUAAAGCGCAUGCAGGCGGCCUGUUAAGUCAGAUGUGAAAGCCCGGGGCUCAACCUCGGAACUGCAUUUGAAACUGGCAGACUAGAGUACU